RNAcentral lists this ribosomal RNA (449 nucleotides) under uncultured bacterium. RNAcentral describes it as "bacterial SSU rRNA". It matches the Rfam family "Bacterial small subunit ribosomal RNA", at positions 330 to 794 of the family's 1533-position model. The record is from RNAcentral.
GCCAGACUCCUACGGGAGGCAGCAGUGGGGAAUAUUGGGCAAUGGGCGCAAGCCUGACCCAGCAACGCCGCGUGAAGGAAGAAGGCUUUCGGGUUGUAAACUUCUUUUAAGGGGGACGAACAAAUGACGGUACCCCUUGAAUAAGCCACGGCUAACUACGUGCCAGCAGCCGCGGUAAUACGUAGGUGGCAAGCGUUAUCCGGAUUUAUUGGGUGUAAAGGGCGUGUAGGCGGGAGCGCAAGUCAGAUGUGAAAACUCAGGGCUCAACCCUGAGCCUGCAUUUGAAACUGUUUUUCUUGAGUACUGGAGAGGCAGACGGAAUUCCUAGUGUAGCGGUGAAAUGCGUAGAUAUUAGGAGGAACACCAGUGGCGAAGGCGGUCUGCUGGACAGCAACUGACGCUGAGGCGCGAAAGCGUGGGGAGCAAACAGGAUUAGAUACCCCCGUAUU